GACGAACGCUGGCGGCGUGCUUAACACAUGCAAGUCGAACGGAAAGGCCCUGCUUUUGUGGGGUGCUCGAGUGGCGAACGGGUGAGUAACACGUGAGUAACCUGCCCUUGACUUUGGGAUAACUUCAGGAAACUGGGGCUAAUACCGGAUAGGAGCUCCUGCUGCAUGGUGGGGGUUGGAAAGUUUCGGCGGUUGUGGAUGGACUCGCGGCUUAUCAGCUUGUUGGUGGGGUAGUGGCUUACCAAGGCUUUGACGGGUAGCCGGCCUGAGAGGGUGACCGGGGACAAUGGGACUAAGGUAGGCCGCAGAAGGCAACGGGAGGCAACAGGGGGGAAUAUUGCGGAAUGGGCGGAAGCCUGAUGCGGAAACGCCGCGUGCGGGAUGACGGCCUUCGGGUUGUAAACAGAUUUGGAAUGUGACGAAGAGUGAGUGACGGUAAUGGGUAAGGAAGCACCGGCUAACUACGUG
Molecule: ribosomal RNA, 468 nt
Filed under: uncultured bacterium
Lineage: Bacteria
Description: partial 16S ribosomal RNA
Rfam family: Bacterial small subunit ribosomal RNA
Source: RNAcentral